UCAGUCUCCAGCAGAGGCAUUGCAGAUGUGGCUGCUGUACCACAUAUGGGUCAGUAGGUGGCAGAGCAGAGAGAGGCCAUGUCUACACUCAGUAUUCUGACCUGGGACCGUCUAUCUGAAUGAUUAGUAGCCUAACAUU
Molecule: non-coding RNA, 139 nt
Organism: Mus musculus (house mouse)
Lineage: Eukaryota; Metazoa; Chordata; Mammalia; Rodentia; Muridae
Source: Rfam